This 329-nucleotide ribosomal RNA is filed under the name uncultured eukaryote. RNAcentral describes it as "partial 18S ribosomal RNA". It matches the Rfam family "Eukaryotic small subunit ribosomal RNA", at positions 1470 to 1796 of the family's 1831-position model. The record is from RNAcentral.
CCCUUAGAUGUCCUGGGCCGCACGCGCGUUACACUGAUGCAUUCAACGAGUUUAUAACCUUGGCCGAGAGGCCUGGGCAAUCUUGUUAACGUGCAUCGUGAUAGGGAUAGAUUAUUGAAAUUAUUAAUCUUGAACGAGGAAUUCCUAGUAAACGCAGAUCAUCAAUCUGCAUUGAUUACGUCCCUGCCCUUUGUACACACCGCCCGUCGCUCCUACCGAUUGAAUGAUCCGAUGAAUAUCAUGGAUUGAGGAUGCAAGCAGGUUCGCCUGUCUUCAUCUUCGAGAAGUGAAGUAAAUCUUAUCAUUUAGAGGAAGGAGAAGUCGUAACA